GCUGCAUUCUAAGUCUGUGUGGUUCAAGUGGGCUGAUGAGGCAGAAGCAAUGUCUGAGGAGGAAAGAACCCAAGGAGUGCUAGGAAGGCCAGGACCUCGAGAGGACUUGCUGCACAUGUAUGAACAUCCCGAUGACCAGCCCCCAAACCCGGAGUCCUACUGUGCAGUAAACAGGAUUAGUGCACAGCAGGCCAGCGGGAAGAGAAUGCAGGAGUGGACAGUGUGGCUGUCUUUUAGCCUCUGUGAACACCACAGCUGCAGGGACAAGUGGGUGGACACUGGGAAAGUCAUACAGGAUUAGCCACACCACCGAAAGGGGACCCACGGCAGAAAACGUGUAUAAAGUUUAAUACCUGCUUGAGAGUCUGCAUUCAGAACCCUUAAUACUUUCAUGGAUUGCUGAGGAAAUGCCACAUCACUGGAGCUUGUGGAAGGGUAGAGAGGAUGAUGGAGUGGAAAAACCCAGCAUUGGAUGAGUCUGAGCCAAGUGGCGAUUCAGAGGAGUCAGACUGGGUGAAAGGGAGUUUGAGGAAGAACACCCAAUUUAUUUCACUUGUAUUUUCAUUUUCAUGUACGCACAAUAGUAAUAUGUGAUAAAAAUCUGUCUAGUUAAGUCUCAAAG
Molecule: long non-coding RNA, 622 nt
Filed under: Chinchilla lanigera (long-tailed chinchilla)
Lineage: Eukaryota; Metazoa; Chordata; Mammalia; Rodentia; Chinchillidae
Description: lncRNA (ENSCLAG00000028251.1)
Source: RNAcentral